RNAcentral lists this long non-coding RNA (2183 nucleotides) under Homo sapiens (human). RNAcentral describes it as "HSALNT0091923". The record is from RNAcentral. Lineage: Eukaryota; Metazoa; Chordata; Mammalia; Primates; Hominidae.
GCGGCCCGGAUAUCUCUGCGCGGCAGCCCCCGCGGUCGAUCAAUCUCAGUCCCGCACUGCCGUCCCGCCCCGCCCUGUGCCCGCCAAUCCACGACGCCAUAAUCCCCCGCCGUGUCCCUCCCUUCCUCCCCAUUGGUUGUGACCGCACGUCAGCCCGACUCAGCCUGCCAAUCGCAGGACCCAGAGGGCCCUCUCCCCCGCCCGCUCAGUGUAAUUCGAGUUCCCUGUCCAUCGACUCCAAGUCCUCUCUCCUGCGCCGCAUGCUGCCUCGCGCUCCCUUUCCUUCCCCCUCUACCCCCUUCCGCGAUUUACUGUUUCCUCGCGCCCAACAGAAAUGGGCGACCGCAAGUCUUACUCUCGCCGGCGUUACAAAGAUUAUUUAAAUUUUCCACAAAUUUCUACGGAUUAAUUCAAUGGCAGCUCACUUUCUCCUUUUAUGAUCGGAUGGGUCCGAAAGUGAGGAAAAAGACAAUUGUCUACAAAGAAAGAGGCUGCCAAGUGGAGACAGAAAAGCAGUUAUGAGACUGAUGAUAGAUUCCAAUUUGUUAUCGAAAGGAAGGAGGAGACCUGAACAGUACAUCCGGAGAAUCCAGCAAAGCAUACUACGGCAUGAACGUGCAAGUGGACAGAAUUAAAACACAUGCCAGAAACACUAAUGGAUUCUAAACAAGAUGCAGUUUCAUUUCCUGAGCCUAUACGUGAUGUUUUUAACUGUUCUCCAGUUAAUAUGUCUCCAUUUCCAGAAAUCUAACAGGAGAAUCUCUGACUGCUUAACAGAUCACCUAAGCUUGCGAUUUGUGCAAUCCUUUCUAGAGUAAGGGCUCCCCGGCUGCUCCCCGGCCACUGUGUACCCAAAGCAGCGGCUGAAAUAGCCCGGAGUCCAACAGCUCAGCGUCAAGCAGCUCGUGGUUUGUACUUACAUCAUUUUUUUUUUCAGAGCAAGAGUGAAAGUUUAUUAAAAAGCGUUAGAACAGUAAGGAAAGGAAAGGAGAGAAAAUAAGGAAAGUACAACUUGGAAGAGGGCCAAGCGGGCGACUUGAGAAAUCAAGUGCCUGUACUUACAUCAUUCUUAACCCUUUCGCUCCUGGAGGGGGCUCAGCGGGAUCAGGGGGCCCCUGAACUUCGGAACACGCAGGACCUGGGUGUGAGAGAAGAGUCCCAAAGCUUGGCGUGAGCAAUGCACUCGCGGAGGGAGAGAGCCCGGGGCUUGCGGGGGGCUCAUCACCCGCUCGUAGACAACGGGCCCCCGCAAUCCCUGCGGGCUCCGCCGCUGCUCUCACCGCUCAAAACGGCAGGUGCAAAAAGCAUUUGGGAGCCGCUUGCCAGCGCGCGGAGGUAAUGCGCUUCCUGUCCAUUUAUCUCAGGAAACCAGUGCAGCCUUCCCUUCGAAACAAAAUUAACCUCUCAUUAGCCAGCCACUCGCUCCCAAGAAGGCCUUAAAAGCUUUACCAGCUCGCUAAUGUAUUUAGGCUUUUCUUCCAGGCAAACGCAGCCGCCGGUCUUGACUGCCAUCGCCCAAGGGGUUCCUCUGGGCUCUCCCGCGAGCCAACAGCCGACCUCUCUCCAGCCUAGUCUGGGAAACUCCAGCCAACCCAGGAUCCCAUUUUGUAGUCCCGGGCAGACCCGAAACCCCUGAAAGAACUCCACUCCAGAAGACGCCAGAACAAGUUCCCACGAAUUUCAUGGGCGCCCUUCACAUGAAAACCUCAGCUCCCCUAUCCUCAAGGAACGGGGAAGGGCGCCGGGGAGGGACUUCGGUGGCCAGCUGUCCCUGGGUCGUGGGCGCUGUUUGCUCUGCGGAGCGCCAGCCCUGCACACAGCGGGUGCGGGAAGCGUUGAUGGGAGGCUGGAGGGCGGGGUGAGCGUAAACUAGGAUCUAGCCGGUUCCAGGCGUGGAGAAUCAAAUGUGGUCCUAGAUCUGUAAGUUGCGAAAAGGGGCUUUUGGGAGCGUCAGAGCUUUCUCACUCCGGUCCCCCGCCGCCUUGAGGCUGGCAGAUUUAUACCCCACAGGUGGAUGGAGACCUAAACAAAACAGUCCCGGCCGCUGCCUGCCGCUCGCCCCCCACGUCCCCCGGGCCCACCGCAAACUUCAACAAAAUAAACAACUCACCACAGGCAUUCCCUUGUCUGCAGCGCGACGCUUGCCAGCUGGGAAAAUAAGCCGCAAGCCACGCGGCCGAGGC